RNAcentral lists this ribosomal RNA (253 nucleotides) under uncultured bacterium. Its description in RNAcentral is "partial 16S ribosomal RNA". It matches the Rfam family "Bacterial small subunit ribosomal RNA", at positions 524 to 776 of the family's 1533-position model. The record is from RNAcentral.
UACGUAGGGGGCAAGCGUUGUCCGGAAUCAUUGGGCGUAAAGAGCGUGUAGGCGGCCCGAUAAGUCCGCUGUGAAAGUCCAGGGCUCAACCCUGGAAUGCCAGUGGAAACUGUCGGGCUGCAGUCCGGAAGAGGCGAGUGGAAUUCCUGGUGUAGCGGUGAAAUGCGCAGAUAUCAGGAGGAACACCAAUGGCGAAGGCAGCUCGCUGGGACGGUACUGACGCUGAGACGCGAAAGCGUGGGGAGCAAACAGG